CAGCAGCCACGGGAAUACCGAGGGUGCGAGCGUUAAUCGGAUUUACUGGGCGUAAAGCGUGCGCAGGCGGUUCGCUAAGACAGGUGUGAAAUCCCCGGGCUUAACCUGGGAACUGCAUUUGUGACUGGCGGGCUAGAGUAUGGCAGAGGGGGGUAGAAUUCCACGUGUAGCAGUGAAAUGCGUAGAGAUGUGGAGGAAUACCGAUGGCGAAGGCAGCCCCCUGGGCCAAUACUGACGCUCAUGCACGAAAGCGUGGGGAGCAAACAGGAUUAGAUACCCCGGUAGUCCCUGUCUCUUAUAC
RNAcentral lists this ribosomal RNA (301 nucleotides) under uncultured bacterium. RNAcentral describes it as "partial 16S ribosomal RNA". It matches the Rfam family "Bacterial small subunit ribosomal RNA", at positions 509 to 807 of the family's 1533-position model. The record is from RNAcentral.